RNAcentral lists this ribosomal RNA (1490 nucleotides) under Parcubacteria group bacterium GW2011_GWC1_43_12. Its description in RNAcentral is "bacterial SSU rRNA". It matches the Rfam family "Bacterial small subunit ribosomal RNA". The record is from RNAcentral.
AUUGAGAGUUUGAUCCUGGCUCAGGAUGAACGCUGGCGGCGUGGAUAAGGCAUGCAAGUCGAACGAGCCUGUUGAAGGCGAGUGGCAAACGGGUUAGUAACGCGUAGGCAACUUACCUUGAAGUCUUGAAUAAUUCAUCGAAAGGUGAACUAAUACAAGAUGGAAAUGAGGGGACGAAAGUCAUUCUCAUUUAAAGGGUGCAGCAAUGCACUUGCUUCUAGAGAGGCCUGCGUCCUAUCAGCUAGUUGGUGAGGUAAUGGCCCACCAAGGCUAUGACGGGUAGGGGGACUGAGAGGUUGGCCCCCAACAUCGGGACUGAGACACUGCCCGGACUCCUACGGGAGGCUGCAGUCAAGAACCUUCCUCAAUGGGCGAAAGCCUGAAGGAGCGACGCCGCGUGAUCGAAGAAGUCCUUCGGGAUGUAAAGAUCUUUUAUCGCCGAACAAUUUUGAGCGUAGGCGAUGAAUAAGGGGCUCCUAAACUCGUGCCAGCAGGAGCGGUAAUACGAGUGCCCCAAGCGUUAUCCGGAAUUACUGGGCGUAAAGCGUUUGUAGGGGGUUUUGAUAGUCCUGUGUUAAAUUCUAAGGCUUAACUUUAGAACCGCGCGGGAAACGUCAAGACUAGAGGAUAUGAGAGGCUGAUGGAACUCACGGUGUAGGGGUGAAAUCCGUUGAUAUCGUGGGGAACACCAAAGGCGAAGGCAUUCAGCUGGCGUAUUCCUGACCCUGAGAAACGAAAGCGUGGGGAGCAAAAAGGAUUAGAUACCCUUGUAGUCCACGCCCUAAACUAUGAUGACUAGCUGUUUGAAGUAUCGACCCUUCAAGCGGCGAAGCUAACGCGUUAAGUCAUCCGCCUGGGAAGUACGAUCGCAAGAUUAAAACUCAAAGGAAUAGACGGGAACUCGCACAAGCGGUGGAGCAUGUGGUUCAAUUCGACAAUAAGCGGGGAACCUUACCAGGGUUAGAAACUCUAACGAAUGCCGGCAGAAACGUCGGCAGUCCUCACGGACGUUAGAGUCAGGUGCUGCACGGUUGUCGUCAGCUCGUGGCGUGAGCUGUUCUCUUAAGUGAGUAAACGAGCGCAACCCCCAUGCUGCGUUAUAAGUGUCGCAGCAAACUGCCUCGGACAACGGGGAGGAAGGUGGGGAUGACGUCAAAUCAGCGUGGUCCUUUGACACCCUGGGCUACACACGUGCUACAAUGGCCGAUACAAUGGGCUGCGAAGCCGUAAGGCGGAGCUAAUCCCAUCAAAGUCGGCCCCAGUUCGGAUUGAGGGCUGCAACCCGCCCUCAUGAAGCCGGAAUCGCUAGUAAUCGCGGAUCAGCCAUGCCGCGGUGAAUACGUUCUCGAGUUUUGUACUCACCGCCCGUCACUUCAAGGGAGCCGGUAAUACCGGAAGCGGCUCAUUAGAGCCGACAAGGUAGGAUCGGUGACAGGGAAGAAGUCGUAACAAGGCAUCCGUAGCGGAAGCUGUGGAUGGAUCACCUCCUU